AUCGUGGGUGCAGCGUUGUCCGGAUUUAUUGGGCGUAAGGGCUCGUAGGUGGUUGAUCGCGUCGGAAGUGUAAUCUUGGGGCUUAACCCUGAGCGUGCUUUCGAUACGGGUUGACUUGAGGAAGGUAGGGGAGAAUGGAAUUCCUGGUGGAGCGGUGGAAUGCGCAGAUAUCAGGAGGAACACCAGUGGCGAAGGCGGUUCUCUGGGCCUUUCCUGACGCUGAGGAGCGAAAGCGUGGGGAGCGAACAGGAUUAGAUACCCUGGUAGUCCAAGGGCG
Molecule: ribosomal RNA, 277 nt
Filed under: uncultured bacterium
Lineage: Bacteria
Description: partial 16S ribosomal RNA
Rfam family: Bacterial small subunit ribosomal RNA
Source: RNAcentral